Molecule: non-coding RNA, 135 nt
Organism: Triticum aestivum (bread wheat)
Lineage: Eukaryota; Viridiplantae; Streptophyta; Magnoliopsida; Poales; Poaceae
Source: Rfam
UAUAUACUCCCUCCGUCCGAAAAUACUUGUCAUCAAAAUGGAUAAGAAGAGAUGUAUCUCGAACUAAAAUAUGCCUACAUACAGCCCCUUUUAUUCAUUUUGAUGACAAGUAUUUCCUGACGGAGGGAGUACAAG